This 679-nucleotide long non-coding RNA is filed under the name Homo sapiens (human). RNAcentral's name for it is "lncAB602.1". Lineage: Eukaryota; Metazoa; Chordata; Mammalia; Primates; Hominidae. The record is from RNAcentral.
GGGUUGUCCCUCAGGUGCCCGAGGCCGAACGGUGGUGUGUCGUUCCCGCCCCCGGCGCCCCCUCCUCCGGUCGCCGCCGCGGUGUCCGCGCGUGGGUCCUGAGGGAGCUCGUCGGUGUGGGGUUCGAGGCGGUUUGAGUGAGACGAGACGAGACGCGCCCCUCCCACGCGGGGAAGGGCGCCCGCCUGCUCUCGGUGAGCGCACGUCCCGUGCUCCCCUCUGGCGGGUGCGCGCGGGCCGUGUGAGCGAUCGCGGUGGGUUCGGGCCGGUGUGACGCGUGCGCCGGCCGGCCGCCGAGGGGCUGCCGUUCUGCCUCCGACCGGUCGUGUGUGGGUUGACUUCGGAGGCGCUCUGCCUCGGAAGGAAGGAGGUGGGUGGACGGGGGGGCCUGGUGGGGUUGCGCGCACGCGCGCACCGGCCGGGCCCCCGCCCUGAACGCGAACGCUCGAGGUGGCCGCGCGCAGGUGUUUCCUCGUACCGCAGGGCCCCCUCCCUUCCCCAGGCGUCCCUCGGCGCCUCUGCGGGCCCGAGGAGGAGCGGCUGGCGGGUGGGGGGAGUGUGACCCACCCUCGGUGAGAAAAGCCUUCUCUAGCGAUCUGAGAGGCGUGCCUUGGGGGUACCGGAUCCCCCGGGCCGCCGCCUCUGUCUCUGCCUCCGUUAUGGUAGCGCUGCCGUAGCG